RNAcentral lists this ribosomal RNA (461 nucleotides) under uncultured bacterium. RNAcentral's name for it is "partial 16S ribosomal RNA". It matches the Rfam family "Bacterial small subunit ribosomal RNA", at positions 28 to 506 of the family's 1533-position model. The record is from RNAcentral.
GACGAACGCUGGCGGCGUGCUUAACACAUGCAAGUCGAACGGAAAGGCCCUUCGGGGUACUCGAGUGGCGAACGGGUGAGUAACACGUGGGUGAUCUGCCCUGCACUUUGGGAUAAGCCUGGGAAACUGGGUCUAAUACCGAAUAGGACCACGCGCUUCAUGGUGUGCGGUGGAAAGCUUUUGCGGUGUGGGAUGGGCCCGCGGCCUAUCAGCUUGUUGGUGGGGUAAUGGCCUACCAAGGCGACGACGGGUAGCCGGCCUGAGAGGGUGACCGGCCACACUGGGACUGAGAUACGGCCCAGACUCCUACGGGAGGCAGCAGUGGGGAAUAUUGCACAAUGGGCGCAAGCCUGAUGCAGCGACGCCGCGUGAGGGAUGACGGCCUUCGGGUUGUAAACCUCUUUCACCAGGGACGAAGCGUAAGUGACGGUACCUGGAGAAGAAGCACCGGCCAACUACGU